CUGCGGAAGGAUCUUACCGAUUCUAAUACCUAACUCACUGUGCACUCGGUCGCUGCAAGCGCUCUCCUCUCGGGGUUGGCCAACUGGCCAUUAAAUCGGUUCUGGGCUGUAACAGGCUUUCAGUUCUGGGCCCCGAUUGGAGUUUUGCUCGCAGCGGUCUUCUUGAACCUUUUUCAACCUUGCAACUUUGCAGACUGUACUGUCGGGCUUUCUAUGGAAAGCUUGUCUUGAUUCUUAAUCAUGGACAACUUUCAACGGUGGAUCUCUUGGCUCGUGGAUCGAUGAAGAACGCAGCAAAACGCGAUAUGUAGUGUGAAUUGCAGAAUUCAGUGAAUCAUCGAAUCUUUGAACGCAAAUGGCGCUUUUGGGUAUUCCCAAGAGCAUGUCUGUCUCAGUGUCGUUUUCACCUCGAGCACGCCACGGCGUGGUGGUCAUGAGGCGUCUGAGAAGCCCUGGUUGCUCUCAGUCCCUUGAAAUGGAGUGGCCGGACAGUUGUGUGCUUUUCGGGUCGGUUCGCCCCGUCUUCGCUCGCACGGCUGAUGGUGAGAUUCCUCGUAAUCUCCCUUGUCGUGUCGCAGCGGUCGGGAUGAGCUGUGUCCGGAUAUACGGCCCUGUGUCCGAAACAAGCCAGUUCUGGAAAACAACACGUUUCUGUCUCCGAUGGAAACAUCUUCGACCUGAGAUCAGGCAAGACUACCCGCUGAAUUUAAGCAUAUUAAUAAGCGGAG
Molecule: ribosomal RNA, 728 nt
Filed under: Clathrina antofagastensis
Lineage: Eukaryota; Metazoa; Porifera; Calcarea; Clathrinida; Clathrinidae
Description: eukaryotic LSU rRNA
Rfam family: 5.8S ribosomal RNA (bases 247-400)
Source: RNAcentral